RNAcentral lists this ribosomal RNA (762 nucleotides) under uncultured Pseudoalteromonas sp. RNAcentral's name for it is "bacterial SSU rRNA". It matches the Rfam family "Bacterial small subunit ribosomal RNA", at positions 8 to 749 of the family's 1533-position model. Lineage: Bacteria; Pseudomonadati; Pseudomonadota; Gammaproteobacteria; Alteromonadales; Pseudoalteromonadaceae. The record is from RNAcentral.
AGAGUUUGAUGGUGGCUCAGAUUGAACGCUGGCGGCAGGCCUAACACAUGCAAGUCGAGCGGAAACGAGUUAUCUGAACCUUCGGGGAACGAUAACGGCGUCGAGCGGCGGACGGGUGAGUAAUGCCUGGGAAAUUGCCCUGAUGUGGGGGAUAACCAUUGGAAACGAUGGCUAAUACCGCAUAAUAGCUUCGGCUCAAAGAGGGGGACCUUCGGGCCUCUCGCGUCAGGAUAUGCCCAGGUGGGAUUAGCUAGUUGGUGAGGUAAAGGCUCACCUAGGCGACGAUCCCUAGCUGUUCUGAGAGGAUGAUCAGCCACACUGGGACUGAGACACGGCCCAGACUCCUACGGGAGGCAGCAGUGGGGAAUAUUGCACAAUGGGGGGAACCCUGAUGCAGCCAUGCCGCGUGUGUGAAGAAGGCCCUAGGGUUGUAAAGCACUUUCAGCGAGGAGGAAAGGUUAGUAGUUAAUACCUGCUAGCUGUGACGUUACUCGCAGAAGAAGCACCGGCUAACUCCGUGCCAGCAGCCGCGGUAAUACGGAGGGUGCGAGCGUUAAUCGGAAUUACUGGGCGUAAAGCGUGCGCAGGCGGUUUGCUAAGUCAGAUGUGAAAGCCCCGGGCUUAACCUGGGAAUCGCAUUUGAAACUGGCAAACUAGAGUCUUGUAGAGGGGGGUAGAAUUUCAGGUGUAGCGGUGAAAUGCGUAGAGAUCUGAAGGAAUACCGGUGGCGAANGCGGCCCCCUGGACAAAGACUGACGCUCA